CCCUUAGAUGUUCUGGGCCGCACGCGCGCUACACUGAUGCAUUCAACGAGUUUUUCCUUGGCCGAGAGGCCUGGGCAAUCUUUUAAACGUGCAUCGUGAUAGGGAUAGAUUAUUGCAAUUAUUAAUCUUGAACGAGGAAUUCCUAGUAAACGCAGAUCAUCAAUCUGCAUUGAUUACGUCCCUGCCCUUUGUACACACCGCCCGUCGCUCCUACCGAUUGAAUGUUCCGGUGAGCUCUUCGGACUGCGCGGUCUGCAGUUUCUGCGUUCCGUGCGGAAAGUUGCGCAAACCUUAACAUUUAGAGGAAGGAGAAGUCGUAACA
RNAcentral lists this ribosomal RNA (322 nucleotides) under uncultured eukaryote. Its description in RNAcentral is "partial 18S ribosomal RNA". It matches the Rfam family "Eukaryotic small subunit ribosomal RNA", at positions 1470 to 1796 of the family's 1831-position model. The record is from RNAcentral.